Molecule: ribosomal RNA, 468 nt
Filed under: uncultured bacterium
Lineage: Bacteria
Description: partial 16S ribosomal RNA
Rfam family: Bacterial small subunit ribosomal RNA
Source: RNAcentral
GAUGAACGCUGGCGGCGUGCUUAACACAUGCAAGUCGAACGGAAAGGCCCGGCUUUUGCGGGGUGCUCGAGUGGCGAACGGGUGAGUAACACGUGAGUAACCUGCCCUUGACUUUGGGAUAACUUCAGGAAACUGGGGCUAAUACCGGAGAGGAGCUCCUGCUGCAUGGUGGGGGUUGGAAAGUUUCGGCGGUUGGGGAUGGACUCGCGGCUUAUCAGCUUGUUGGUGGGGUAGUGGCUUACCAAGGCUGUGACGGCUAGCCGGCCUGAGAGGGUGACCGGCCACAUUGGGACUGAGAUACGGCCCAGACUCCUACGGGAGGCAGCAGGGGGGAAUAUUGCACAAUGGGCGGAAGCCUGAUGCAGCAACGCCGCGUGCGGGAUGACGGCCUUCGGGUUGUAAACCGAUUUCGCCUGUGACGAAGCGUGAGUGACGGUAAUGGGUAAAGAAGCACCGGCUAACUACGUG